RNAcentral lists this long non-coding RNA (229 nucleotides) under Salvia miltiorrhiza (redroot sage). RNAcentral describes it as "long non-coding RNA (SMIL_LNC009762)". The record is from RNAcentral. Lineage: Eukaryota; Viridiplantae; Streptophyta; Magnoliopsida; Lamiales; Lamiaceae.
CAAGACGUGCUUAAUAUACUCAGUGGUGACGAGGUGGCAGUAUUUGCAGUAGAAAGUGAGGUGGAAAUACUUCUUCUCAUAUUCCCUAGGCCUGAAGGAGAUGGACUGCUUGGUGGCGGGUUUGGCGCGAUGCUGGAGACGGCGGCAGCACCUAUGGCUGAAGAGGGUGGCAGCGGUUUGGCGCAGUGGGCUGCAAAUCGGUGGGGGCACACAGCGGUGGGCAGCGGCG